GACGAACGCUGGCGGCGUGCUUAACACAUGCAAGUCGAACGGAAAGGCACUGCUUUUGUGGGGUGCUCGAGUGGCGAACGGGUGAGUAACACGUGAGUAACCUGCCCUUGACUUUGGGAUAACUUCAGGAAACUGGGGCUAAUACCGGAUAGGAGCUCCUGCUGCAUGGUGGGGGUUGGAAAGUUUCGGCGGUUGGGGAUGGACUCGCGGCUUAUCAGCUUGUUGGUGGGGUAGUGGCUUACCAAGGCUUUGACGGGUAGCCGGCCUGAGAGGGUGACCGGCCACAUUGGGACUGAGAGACGGCCCAGACUCCUACGGGAGGCAGCAGUGGGGAAUAUUGCACAAUGGGCGGAAGCCGGAGGCAGCAACGCCGCGUGCGGGAUGACGGCCUUCGGGUUGUAAACCGCUUUCGCCUGUGACGAAGCGUGAGUGACGGUAAUGGGUAAAGAAGCACCGGCUAACUACGUG
RNAcentral lists this ribosomal RNA (468 nucleotides) under uncultured bacterium. RNAcentral describes it as "partial 16S ribosomal RNA". It matches the Rfam family "Bacterial small subunit ribosomal RNA", at positions 28 to 507 of the family's 1533-position model. The record is from RNAcentral.